AUUGCUUCUCGGCCUUUUGGCUAAGAUCAAGUGUAGUAUUAUAUUUAAUUCCCCACAUAUCCAUA
RNAcentral lists this small nuclear RNA (65 nucleotides) under Otolemur garnettii (small-eared galago). RNAcentral describes it as "U2 spliceosomal RNA". Lineage: Eukaryota; Metazoa; Chordata; Mammalia; Primates; Galagidae. The record is from Rfam by way of RNAcentral.